Molecule: ribosomal RNA, 253 nt
Filed under: uncultured bacterium
Lineage: Bacteria
Description: partial 16S ribosomal RNA
Rfam family: Bacterial small subunit ribosomal RNA
Source: RNAcentral
UACGUAGGUGGCAAGCGUUGUCCGGAUUUACUGGGCGUAAAGGGCGUGCAGGCGGUCUGUUAAGUUCAGGGUGAAAGCUCCCGGCUCAACUGGGAGAGGUCCUUGGAUACUGGCAGACUUGAGGGAGGUAGAGGAGAGUGGAAUUCCCGGUGUAGUGGUGAUAUGCGUAGAUAUCGGGAGGAACACCUGUGGCGAAAGCGGCGCACUGGACCAUAACUGACGCUGAGGCGCGAAAGCUAGGGGAGCAAACAGG